GCAAAAUAGUAACUGAGAGCUCCCUCAAGGGAAAGCAAGGACACUGAAUGGGUCAGGCUCCAAUUUCAACCCCUUCUUAUGGAGCUCAUCUUACGUUUAUAGACCAACCCAAAUCCCAGCAUAUACUGAAAGACGUUUCAGAUGAGCUCUUCAUGACCUUAUUAAUAAACAAGAACUGAUUGCUCAUCAA
RNAcentral lists this long non-coding RNA (190 nucleotides) under Sarcophilus harrisii (Tasmanian devil). RNAcentral's name for it is "lncRNA (ENSSHAG00000025317.1)". Lineage: Eukaryota; Metazoa; Chordata; Mammalia; Dasyuromorphia; Dasyuridae. The record is from RNAcentral.